This 316-nucleotide long non-coding RNA is filed under the name Homo sapiens (human). RNAcentral describes it as "HSALNT0365789". Lineage: Eukaryota; Metazoa; Chordata; Mammalia; Primates; Hominidae. The record is from RNAcentral.
AUAGAAAGGAAGAGACUGUCCGCGGAGUAGACGAGUGCGCCUCCCUCACCUCCCUCCUCCAUGUGCGAACACAGCAAGAAGGCCGCCAUCUGCAAACCAGGAAGAGGUCCAUCACUGAGGGGCCAAAGUGGCACCUUGAGCUUGGACUUCCCAGGCUUCAAGAACUGUGAAAAAUAAAUCCCUGUUGUUGAAGCCCCCCAGCCUAUGUUAUUUUGUUGCAGCAGCCGGAGCUGACUGACACAGCCGCAUGAUCACCGGCAAGUUCCUCCAUCGCUUGGGACUCUCUUUUCUUCUCUGUCAAAUGUGAAUAUUAAAA